UACGUAGGUGGCAAGCGUUGUCCGGAUUUACUGGGCGUAAAGAGCGCGCAGGCGGUCGGAUUAGUCGCGUGUGAAAGCCCCCGGCUCAACUGGGGAGGGUCACGCGAUACUGUUCGACUCGAAGGCAGGAGAGGGAAGUGGAAUUCCCGGUGUAGUGGUGAAAUGCGUAGAUAUCGGGAGGAACACCAGUGGCGAAGGCGACUUCCUGGCCUGUUCUUGACGCUGAGGCGCGAAAGCCAGGGGAGCAAACGGG
This 253-nucleotide ribosomal RNA is filed under the name uncultured bacterium. Its description in RNAcentral is "partial 16S ribosomal RNA". It matches the Rfam family "Bacterial small subunit ribosomal RNA", at positions 524 to 776 of the family's 1533-position model. The record is from RNAcentral.